AUUGAACGCUGGCGGUAGGCCUAACACAUGCAAGUCGAGCGGCUGAACGGAACUUGCUCCCUGUUUCGGGUGCCGAGGGGUGGGUAAUUCCGGGGUAUAUCCCUGUUUGUGGUUGAGAACGUCCUGACACGGGCGCUCAUACGGCAUUCGUCCUGAGGGAGUAAGGGGGAGAGCUUCGGACCUCACGCUCUCGGAUGAGUCUAUGUCGGAUUAGCUAGUUGGUGGGGUAAAGGCCUACCAAGGCGACGAUCCGUAACUGGUCUGAGAGGAUGAGCAGUCACACUGGAACUGAGACACGGUCCAGACUCCUACGGGAGGCAGCAGUGGGGAAUAUUGGACAAUGGGCGCAAGCCUGAUCCAGCCAUGCCGCGUGUGUGAAGAAGGUCUUCGGAUUGUAAAGCACUUUAGGUUGGGAAGAAGGGCAGUAAGUUAAUACCUUGCUGUUCUGACGUUACCAACAGAAUAAGCACCGGCUAACUUCGUG
RNAcentral lists this ribosomal RNA (484 nucleotides) under uncultured bacterium. RNAcentral's name for it is "partial 16S ribosomal RNA". It matches the Rfam family "Bacterial small subunit ribosomal RNA", at positions 30 to 507 of the family's 1533-position model. The record is from RNAcentral.